AGGGUUUGAUCAUGGCUCAGAACGAACGCUGGUGGCGUGCUUAACACAUGCAAGUCGAACGAGAAAGUUUCCUUCGGGAAAUUAGUAAAGUGGCGCAAGGGUGAGUAUCACGUGAAUAAUCUGCCCUCGAGAUCGGGAUAACAUGGUGAAAACUAUGCUAAUACCGGAUAAGACCACAUUUCAUAAGAAAUGCGGUAAAAGGAGUCUCAAUCUUCACUCGAGGAUGAGUUCGCGCAACAUUAGCUUGUUGGUGAGAUAAAAGCUCACCAAGGCUACGAUGUUUAGCCGGCCUGAGAGGGUGAUCGGCCACACUGGAACUGAGACACGGUCCAGACUCCUACGGGAGGCAGCAGUGGGGAAUAUUGCGCAAUGGGCGAAAGCCUGACGCAGCAACGCCGUGUGAGCGAUGAAGGCUUUAGGGUCGUAAAGCUCUGUCAAAUGGGAAGAAUUUUGACGGUACCAUUAGAGGAAGCCCCGGCUAACUCCGUGCCAGCAGCCGCGGUAAUACGGAGGGGGCAAGCGUUGUUCGGAAUUAUUGGGCGUAAAGCGUAUGUAGGCGGUUAAACAAGUCAGGCGUGCAAGCCCGUGGCUCAACCACGGAAUUGCGUUUGAAACUGUUUAACUUGAGUACAGGAGAGGAAAGCGGAAUUCCCAGUGUAGCGGUGAAAUGCAUUGAUAUUGGGAAGAACAUCUGUG
Molecule: ribosomal RNA, 696 nt
Filed under: uncultured bacterium
Lineage: Bacteria
Description: bacterial SSU rRNA
Rfam family: Bacterial small subunit ribosomal RNA
Source: RNAcentral